UCUUCAUUUCACGUGUUCUCUCACCGAUCAGAGAAGCGAGAGAGUGUGUGAAAUGAAGAGA
Molecule: non-coding RNA, 61 nt
Organism: Pristionchus pacificus
Lineage: Eukaryota; Metazoa; Nematoda; Chromadorea; Rhabditida; Neodiplogasteridae
Source: Rfam